GAUGAAGAACGUAGCGAAAUGCGAUACGUAAUGUGAAUUGCAGAAUUCAGUGAAUCAUCGAAUCUUUGAACGCAUAUUGCGCUCUCUGGUAUUCCGGAGAGCAUGCUUGUUUGAGUAUCAGUAAACACCUCAACUCCCUUUUCUUUUUUGAAAUUGGAGCUGGACUUGAGUGAUCCCAACGCUUUCUUCCAAGAAAGUGGCGGGUUGCUUGAAAUGCAGGUGCAGCUGAACUUUUCUCUUAGCUAUAAGCAUAUCUAUUUAGUCUGCCUAAAAAACAGAUUAUUACCUUUGCUGCAGCUAACAUAAAGGAGACUAGUUCUUGUGCUGACUGAUGCAGGAUUCACAGAGACAGCUUCGGAUGACUUUGUAAACUCGAUCUCAAAUCAAGUAAGACUACCCGCUGAACUUAAGCAUAUCAAUAAGCGGAGGA
RNAcentral lists this unclassified non-coding RNA (430 nucleotides) under soil metagenome. Its description in RNAcentral is "partial contains 5.8S ribosomal RNA, internal transcribed spacer 2, and large subunit ribosomal RNA". The stretch from base 1 to 120 matches the Rfam family "5.8S ribosomal RNA", at positions 35 to 154 of the family's 154-position model. The record is from RNAcentral.